AGCAGUGUGGCUCAGUGGAAAGAGCAUGGGCUUGGGAGUCAGAGGUCAUGGGUUCAAAUCCUGUCUCUGCCA
RNAcentral lists this transfer RNA (72 nucleotides) under Ornithorhynchus anatinus (platypus). It matches the Rfam family "tRNA". Rfam says of the family: Transfer RNA (tRNA) molecules are approximately 80 nucleotides in length. Lineage: Eukaryota; Metazoa; Chordata; Mammalia; Monotremata; Ornithorhynchidae. The record is from Rfam by way of RNAcentral.